Molecule: ribosomal RNA, 447 nt
Filed under: uncultured bacterium
Lineage: Bacteria
Description: bacterial SSU rRNA
Rfam family: Bacterial small subunit ribosomal RNA
Source: RNAcentral
CCAGACUCCUACGGGAGGCAGCAGUGGGGGAUAUUGGACAAUGGGGGGAACCCUGAUGCAGCGACGCCGCGUGGGUGACGAAGUAUUUCGGUAUGUAAAGCCCUAUCAGCAGGGAAGAAGAUGACAGUACCUGACUAAGAAGCCCCGGCUAACUACGUGCCAGCAGCCGCGGUAAUACGUAGGGGGCAAGCGUUAUCCGGAUUUACUGGGUGUAAAGGGAGCGUAGGUGGCAUGGCAAGCCAGAAGUGAAAACCCGGGGCUUAACCCCGCGGAUUGCUUUUGGAACUGUCAGGCUGGAGUGCAGGAGGGGCAGGCGGAAUUCCUGGUGUAGCGGUGAAAUGCGUAGAUAUCAGGAGGAACACCGGUGGCGAAGGCGGCCUGCUGGACUGUAACUGACACUGAGGCUCGAAAGCGUGGGGAGCAAACAGGAUUAGAUACCCUGGUAUG